UGCAAAGACCCUCUGAGGGUGUUGAGAG
Molecule: non-coding RNA, 28 nt
Filed under: Rattus norvegicus (Norway rat)
Lineage: Eukaryota; Metazoa; Chordata; Mammalia; Rodentia; Muridae
Source: RNAcentral